GUGACCUCGAUGAAGGUAGGGAUACCCGCUGAACU
Molecule: ribosomal RNA, 35 nt
Filed under: Paramycosphaerella marksii
Lineage: Eukaryota; Fungi; Ascomycota; Dothideomycetes; Mycosphaerellales; Mycosphaerellaceae
Description: partial 28S ribosomal RNA
Source: RNAcentral